Molecule: ribosomal RNA, 450 nt
Filed under: uncultured bacterium
Lineage: Bacteria
Description: partial 16S ribosomal RNA
Rfam family: Bacterial small subunit ribosomal RNA
Source: RNAcentral
CCUACGGGGGGCAGCAGUGAGGAAUAUUGCGCAAUGGGGGCAACCCUGACGCAGCGACGCCGCGUGGAUGAUGAAGGCCCUUGGGUCGUAAAAUCCUGUCAGAUGGCAAGAAAUGUAUAGCAGCUAAUAUCUGUUAUAUUUGACGGUACCAUCAAAGGAAGCACCGGCUAACUCCGUGCCAGCAGCCGCGGUAAUACGGAGGGUGCAAGCGUGGUUCGGGAUUACUGGGCGUAUAUGGCGCGUAGGCGGUGAAAGCCCUCGGCUUAACCGUGGACGUGCAUUUGAAACUGGCAGACUUGAGUACUGGAGGGGGUGGUGGAAUUCCCGGUGUAGAGGUGAAAUUCGUAGAUAUCGGGAGGAAUACCGGUGGCGAAGGCGACCACCUGGCCAGAUACUGACGCUGAGGUGCGAAAGCGUGGGGAGCAAACAGGAUUAGAUACCCCAGUAGUC